GAUGAACGCUGGCGGCGUGCCUAAUACAUGCAAGUCGAGCGAACAGACGAGGAUUUUGCUCCUCUGACGUUAGCGACGGACGGGUGAGUAACACGUGGAUAACCUACCGAUAAGACUGGGAUAACUUCGGGAAACCGGAGCUAACACCGGAUAAUAUAUUGAACCGCAUGGUUCUAUAGUGAAAGAGGGUUUUGCUGUCACUUAGACAGAGUACCAAGCCGGAUUAGCUAGUUGGUAAGGUAACGGCCUACCAAGGCGACGAUGCGUAGCCGAUCUGAGAGGAUGAUCGGCCACACUGGAACUGAGACACGGUCCAGACUCCUACGGGAGGCAGCAGUAGGGAAUCUUCGGCAAUGGGCGAAAGCCUGACGGAGCCACGCCGCGUGUGUGAUGAAGGUCUUCGGAUCGUAAAGCUCUGUUAUUAGGGAAGAACAGCUGUGUAAGUAACUAUGCACGUCUUGACGGUACCUACUCAGAAAGCACCGGCUAACUACGUG
RNAcentral lists this ribosomal RNA (497 nucleotides) under uncultured bacterium. RNAcentral describes it as "partial 16S ribosomal RNA". It matches the Rfam family "Bacterial small subunit ribosomal RNA", at positions 28 to 507 of the family's 1533-position model. The record is from RNAcentral.